AAUGUAAACGUUUUAUAUAAACAAAAUAAAACUUUCAACAACGGAUCUCUUGGUUCUCGCAUCGAUGAAGAACGCAGCGAAAUGCGAUAAGUAAUGUGAAUUGCAGAAUUCAGUGAAUCAUCGAAUCUUUGAACGCACCUUGCACUCUCUGGUAUUCCGGAGAGUACGCCUGUUUGAGUGUCAUGAAACUCUCACUCCCUACCUUUUCUUAACUGAGGAGGAAGGGACGUGGACUUGGACUCUGCUGGUCUUUACGAUCGGCUUGUCUGAAAUGAAUUAGCUGGAUCCUCUUUGUAAUUGGUUCUACUCGACGUGAUAAGUAUUUCGUCGAGGACAGUCUUAACGGACUGGCCGAGAGAAGAAGAGUCUUUUAGAUCCGCUUCUAAUCCGUACGACUUUAUGUCUACACUUUUUAUGAUCUGGCCUCAAAUCAGGUGGGACUACCCGCUGAACUUAAGCAUAUCAAUAAGCGGAGGAAAAGAAACUAACAAGGAUUCCCCUAGUAACGGCGAGUGAAGCGGGAUGAGCUCAAAUUUAAAAUCUGGCAGUCUAAGAUUGUCCGAGUUGUAGUCUAGAGAAGCGUCUUCCGUGC
RNAcentral lists this ribosomal RNA (592 nucleotides) under uncultured fungus. RNAcentral describes it as "eukaryotic LSU rRNA". The stretch from base 30 to 183 matches the Rfam family "5.8S ribosomal RNA". The record is from RNAcentral. Lineage: Eukaryota; Fungi.